GCACUCGUGGGGGUGGGGGAGGAGCGGGGGUCGGUCCGGCUGGUUUGUGGGUGGGAGGCGCUUGUUCUCCAAAAACCGGCGCGAGCUGCAAUCCUGAGGGAGCUGCGGUGGAGGAGGUGGAGAGAAGGCCGCACCCUUCUGGGCAGGGGGAGGGGAGUGCCGCAAUACCUUUAUGGGAGUUCUCUGCUGCCUCCCGUCUUGUAAGGACCGCCCUGGGCCUGGAAGAAGCCCUCCCUCCUUUCCUCCUCGCGUGAUCUCGUCAUCGCCUCCAUGUCGAGUCGCUUCUCGAUUAUGGGCGGGAUUCUUUUGCCUAGGCUUAAGGGGCUAACUUGGUCCCUGGGCGUUGCCCUGCAGGGGAGUGAGCAGCUGUAAGAUUUGAGGGGCGACUCCGAUUAGUUUAUCUUCCCACGGACUAGAGUUGGUGUCGAGGUUAUUGUAAUAAGGGUGGGGUAGGGAAAUGGAGCUUAGUCAUUCACCUGGGGCUGAUUUUAUGCAACGAGACUGCGGAUUAUCACUACUUAUCAUUUUUGGAGCAUUUUUCUAGAGACAGACAUAAAGCAUGAUCACCUGAGUUUUAUACCAUUUGAGACCCUUGCUGCACCACCAAAGUGUAGCAUCAGGUUAAAUCUUAAUAGAAAAAUUUUAGCUUUUGCUUGAGAAACCAGUGCUUCCCUCCCUCACCCUCUCUCCCCAGGCUCUCUACCCCUUUGCAUCCCUACCAGGCAUCUUAGCAACUCUCACUCAUACUUGAUCCCAUUUUCCAUUUGUUGUACUUGCUCCUCUAGUAUUCAGACAUAGCACUAGCUUUCUCCCUCUCUUGAUCUUGGGUAGCCUGGUGUCUCGCGAAACCAGACAGAUUGGUUCCACCACAAAUUAAGGCUUGAGCUGGGGCUUGACUCUUACCCAGCAGUGCUUUUAUUCCUCCCUAGUUCACGUUCUUAAAUGUUUAUCUUGAUUUUCAUUUUAUCCUUUUUCCUUAGCUGGGAUUCUGUCCCUGACCGUCUUCACAGUCCAGGUGAUCUUGACUACUGCUUUACAGAGAAUUGGAUCUGAGGUGUGGAAACAGGAAGAGAACUAGAACUGGAAGUAAAGCAUUGAAGAUGUGACUGAAUUGCUGCAAUCUCAUGAUCAAAUUUGAAUGGAUGAGGAGUUGCUUUUUAGGGAUGAGCAAAGAAAGUGGUUUCUCGAGAUGGAAUCUACUGGUGAAGUUGCUGUGAACAUUGUUAAAAUGCCAAUAAAGGAUUUAGGAAUUACAGAAACCUGGUUGAUAAAGCAGUGCCAGGGUGUGAGAGAGUUGACUUCAAUUUUGAAAUAAGUUCCACUGGCUGGGUGUGGUGGCUCACACCUGCAAUCCCAGUACUUUAGGAGGCCGAGACUGGUAGAUCAUUUGAGGUCAGGAGUUCAAGACCAGCCUUGCCAACAUGGUGAAACCCCACCUCUACCAAAUUAGCCAGGUGUGGUGCACACCUGUAGUCCCAGCUACUUGGGAAGCUGAGGCAGGAGAAUCUCUUGAACCAGGGAGGAGGAGGUUGCAGUAAGCCGAGAUGGCGCCCCUGCACUCCAGCCUGGGUGACAGAGUGAGACCUUGCGUUUAAAAAAAAAAAAAAAGGAAAAGGAAAAAAAAGUUCUACUGUGGGUAAAAUGCUAUCAUGCUAUCAAACAGCAUCACAUGCUACAGAGAAGUCUUGUGAAAGGAUGUCAGUGUGGCAAACUUCAUUGUCUUUUAAGAAAUUGCCACAGCUAUCGUAAUCUUCAACCACCACCACCCUGAUGAGUCAGUAGCCAUCGUUAACGUUGGCGUAAGACCCUCCACCAGCAAAAAGAUUGUUAGCAUUUUUUUAGCAGUGAUGUAUUUAUCAAUUAUACAUAAUGCUAUUGUACACUUCUUAAUAGACUAUGGUAUAGUGUAACCAUAAUUUAUGCACUGGGAAACCAACAAAUUCAUGAGAUUCGCUUUAUUGUAGUGCUCUGGAAUUGAGCCUGCCGUGUUUCUGAGGUUGCUCCUUGAGGGCAGGACAGUUCUUAUGGCUUUAUCCGUUGCGUAAGCACAGAGAGGUCUGCGAGGUCAAAACUAUUGUCAUGAUAGCAAGAUGCCUGUCUUUUUCAUUUAUUCUCACGGUGUGCAGAGGCUACAUGAUGUGUGAUGACAUCCUCAUUGAUGUUAAUGAAUGGUGCUAUACUUGAAUUUUCUAAGGUGUCAUUAGGUAGGUUUAGCAAUUCUCCUGCCUCAGCCUCCUGCAUAACUGGGACUACAGGGAAGCACCAUUUUCCACAAAACUCUCAAGAAGGACUUGUUGCAACUGGAAAAGCAAUUAAAUGUGAAUCGUGAUCCAGGAGAAAGUAACAACUCACAUAACUCCCAAAUUAAAAGUUUUCCAAAGAUAUAUCAUUUUUUUUCUCUUGGCCUUUUAAGAAACUAGCCAACAAAUACUCUUGACAGGUUUGUGUUUGGUUUUGAAAACACACACCUUAGUGUACUGAAAGAAAAACAAUUUCUUUUAAUUUGGUUUGUUGGUCCCACACCCCAUCUAUCAAUGUAUGUGCUAUUUACAAAUAAGUUCUAUACAGUAUUUUUGCAGUACCUUUGAUAAUUCCUAGACCUCUAUUUUCAUUCUGUGUAUUAAUGUGAAUAACAGAUGGAUAUUUUAAUAUUUAAGGCAGAUGGUAAACUUUCCUAUAGGUCUUGUGAGACUUCGUCUUAUAGGCUGAACACCAUUCACAAAAUGUAAUAAUGCUUCAUUCCUUCAGGUUGAGGUAAAGAACUUGAGCAACUGGAUUAGCAAAGCUGCAAAGAAUGAAAUGUGGCCUAAGAUGUAAUUAUGUUCUCUGCCCUUCCUUUGGGCCAGGGUAGUUUUGCACUUGACACAAUGGAAAAUAGGCCAUAAAGCCUGAAAAUAAAAUGUUCUAAACCCCAA
This 2915-nucleotide long non-coding RNA is filed under the name Homo sapiens (human). RNAcentral describes it as "HSALNT0050685". Lineage: Eukaryota; Metazoa; Chordata; Mammalia; Primates; Hominidae. The record is from RNAcentral.